This 253-nucleotide ribosomal RNA is filed under the name uncultured bacterium. RNAcentral's name for it is "partial 16S ribosomal RNA". It matches the Rfam family "Bacterial small subunit ribosomal RNA", at positions 524 to 776 of the family's 1533-position model. The record is from RNAcentral.
UACAGAGGGGGCAAGCGUUGUUCGGAAUUACUGGGCGUAAAGGGCGCGUAGGCGGCCUUCUAAGUCGAACGUGAAAUCCCCGGGCUCAACCCGGGAACUGCGUCCGAUACUGGAAGGCUUGAAUCCGGGAGAGGGAUGCGGAAUUCCAGGUGUAGCGGUGAAAUGCGUAGAUAUGUGGAGGAACACCGAUGGCGAAGGCAGCCCCCUGGGUCAAAACUGACGCUCAUGCACGAAAGCGUGGGGAGCAAACAGG